This is a long non-coding RNA of Populus euphratica (Euphrates poplar), 156 nucleotides long. RefSeq lists it as uncharacterized. The transcript is spliced from 2 exons. The record is from RefSeq and is a predicted model, not a curated record. NCBI's taxonomy places the organism in Eukaryota, Viridiplantae, Streptophyta, Magnoliopsida, Malpighiales, Salicaceae.
GCUAUCCAUUUGUCCACUCAUAUCUAGCCAUCACAUCGGCUCUGGGACAUUCUGUAAUUGGGGCUUCUAUCAUGGCCCUCACACCUUCUCCUAAGGUGUCUUCGUCUUUCAUAGGCGGUCGCAUCCUCCUUCAGUUAGGAUGCUUCAAAGUGGCUC